GGCGGUUCUUGGGUGACACACCCCCGAAUCGGCCUCCCUGCUCUCUGGUCCUGGGUGCAUCACCUGAGAACCACA
Myotis brandtii (Brandt's bat) is the source of this 75-nucleotide non-coding RNA. The record is from Rfam. Lineage: Eukaryota; Metazoa; Chordata; Mammalia; Chiroptera; Vespertilionidae.